CCAAAGGCUCUUUUUAGAGCCACCCACUGUCUCACACAAGAGUAG
Non-coding RNA from Sarcophilus harrisii (Tasmanian devil), 45 nucleotides. Lineage: Eukaryota; Metazoa; Chordata; Mammalia; Dasyuromorphia; Dasyuridae. The record is from Rfam.